UUCAAAAUGAGAAGAUCCUGCCAUGGAAAAGACGACUGGGUGGACAUAAAGUGGAAAGGAGGGGAAAUAACUCCCACCAUGCAGCAGGACACCUUCAGCUGUGGGGUCUUUGUAAUAUGGCCAAGGAAGUUGCACAGAACUUCCCCAACAUCCCAAAUUGAUAUGGAACCUUCAAAAAACAAAUGGAGCAACUGCAGAAAUAAAUGGCUGAG
Long non-coding RNA from Oncorhynchus tshawytscha (Chinook salmon), 212 nucleotides. RefSeq lists it as uncharacterized. The record is from RefSeq and is a predicted model, not a curated record. The transcript is spliced from 2 exons. NCBI's taxonomy places the organism in Eukaryota, Metazoa, Chordata, Actinopteri, Salmoniformes, Salmonidae.